Molecule: ribosomal RNA, 558 nt
Filed under: uncultured Glomus
Lineage: Eukaryota; Fungi; Glomeromycota; Glomeromycetes; Glomerales; Glomeraceae
Description: SSU rRNA
Rfam family: Eukaryotic small subunit ribosomal RNA
Source: RNAcentral
AAUUGGAGGGCAAGUCUGGUGCCAGCAGCCGCGGUAAUUCCAGCUCCAAUAGCGUAUAUUAAAGUUGUUGCAGUUAAAAAGCUCGUAGUUGAAUUUCGGGGUUAGUAGGCUGGUCAUGCCUCUGGUAUGUACUGGUCUCACUGAUUCCUCCUUCCUGAUGAACCGUAAUGCCAUUAAUUUGGUGUUGCGGGGAAUUUGGACUGUUACUUUGAAAAAAUUAGAGUGUUUAAAGCAAGCUAACGCUUGAAUACAUUAGCAUGGAAUAAUGAAAUAGGACGUUCGAUCCUAUUUUGUUGGUUUCUAGGAUUGACGUAAUGAUUAAUAGGGAUAGUUGGGGGCAUUAGUAUUCAAUUGUCAGAGGUGAAAUUCUUGGAUUUAUUGAAGACUAACUACUGCGAAAGCAUUUGCCAAGGAUGUUUUCAUUAAUCAAGAACGAAAGUUAGGGGAUCGAAGACGAUCAGAUACCGUCGUAGUCUUAACCAUAAACUAUGCCGACUAGGGAUCGGAUGAUGUUAAUUUUUUAAUGACUCAUUCGGCGCCUUACGGGAACCAAAGUGU